CUUUAUUAAUCAUAUUCAUUGUUCAAUAUAUUUUAAUCUAACUUAUACAAUAGCUCUCCACUCCAUCAGGUUCCCGAUCAUAAAUCUUCUCCAUCCUUUUUGUUCUUCACUCCAAUAGAGAAUAGACUCUUGUUUUGCUGUGAUAUUGAAUUCUCUAUGGAAGAAUUUUUCAUAUCCUACCAGUGUUCCUCUUUCCAGACAAAACGUGCCAUCCUGCUUGUAAAAAGCUAUCACUACAUUCCCAUACAACAUGCGAUCUAUUAGUUUAAUGCACUCUUGUACAAUUCUCUCCGCACAUUUAUCCGAAAUCCCCUUUUCAGCAGUAAUACGUUUUUUCCAUACUAAUUUGCAAGCUUCUAACUUGCCUUUCCUGAUUUUUUGUCUCAUUUUCUUCUGUUUUUAAUUUUGAAAAAUAAAUUUCUGUUUGAGCGUAAAUCUUCCCUUAUAGAUAGUGACGGUAUGUUGUUGUCAUAGCGUCACUAUCCUUUCAUUAUAGUGACGCUAUAACGAUAGCAUACCGUCACUAUUUUUUUAAGAGAAAAUCUGUUAGUUUUCGACCGGUUGAAAACGGCGGCGAUGACCUGCGGAUAGGGGUGAAAGGCCAAUCAAACCCGGAGAUAUCUCGUUCUCCCCGAAAUAGCUUUAGGGCUAGCGUCGCGCGUUCACCGCCGGAGGUAGAGCACCGGAUGGACGAGGGGGCUUCGCCGCCUACCGAAUCCAACCGAACUCCGAAUGCCGGCGGCCCAGAGCGCGGCAGUCAGAGCAUGUGGGCUAAGCUGUGUGCUCGAGAGGGAAACAGCCCGGACCGCCCGCUAAGGUCCCCAAGUUCCAGCCGAGUGGCAAAGGAUGUGCGUCCGCCCAGACAACCAGGAUGUUGGCUUAGAAGCAGCCAUUCAUUCAAAGAGUGCGUAACAGCUCACUGGUCGAGUGGACAUGCGCCGACAAUACACGGGGCUAAGCUGGACACCGAAGCGGCGGGAUUUUGAUUUUCAGAAUCGGUAGGGGAGCUUCCCAUGGGCGGGGAAGCCGCCGGGCGACCGGCGGUGGAGCGCAUGGGAGUGAGAAUGCUGGCAUGAGUAGCGAGAGACGAGAGAGUAACUCGUCCGCCGUGAACCCGAGGUUUCCUGGGCAAGGCUAAUCCUCCCAGGGUCAGUCGGGGGCUAAGGCGAGGCCGGGAGGCGUAGCCGACGCGCAGCAGGCAGACAUUCCUGCACCGCGCACGCGGCGCUACGACCGACGGGGCGACGGAUGGGGGUGGCUCGGCGGGGUUCUGGACGUCCCCGUGAUGGAGCGCGGCCCGCGGACCAGGGAAAUCCGGUCCGCACGAGGGCGAGGCUCCGGACGAAGCGAUCAAGCGAAGCGAGUGAGCCCGAGGUCCCUAGAAAAACCCCUAGGCAGGCGCGUGCGCGCCCGUACCGCAAACCGACACAGGUGGGUGGGUAGAACAUACCGAGGCGAUCGGGUCAACCAUGGUCAAGGAACUCGGCAAAAUGGCCCCGUAACUUCGGGAGAAGGGGUGCCCGCGCGUACGUGAACGGACUUGCUCCGGGAGCGGAGGCGGGCCGCAGUGGAGAGGCCCAAGCGACUGUUUACCAAAAACACAGGACUCUGCAGAAGCCGCAAGGCGACGUAUAGGGUCUGACGCCUGCCCGGUGCCGGAAGGUCACGCGGAGGAGUUAGCCGCAAGGCGAAGCCCCGAAGCCAAGCCCCGGUAAACGGCGGCCGUAACUAUAACGGUCCUAAGGUAGCGAAAUUCCUUGUCGGGUAAGUUCCGACCUGC
RNAcentral lists this ribosomal RNA (1780 nucleotides) under human gut metagenome. RNAcentral describes it as "bacterial LSU rRNA". It matches the Rfam family "Bacterial large subunit ribosomal RNA", at positions 1 to 1991 of the family's 2925-position model. The record is from RNAcentral.